Molecule: microRNA precursor, 158 nt
Filed under: Drosophila guanche
Lineage: Eukaryota; Metazoa; Arthropoda; Insecta; Diptera; Drosophilidae
Source: RNAcentral
GGGGGGGGGGGGGGGGGGGGGGGGGGGGGGGGCAGUUCACCGAAACAAAAUUGGGAGCAGGGUUGCCGGGCACUGCCACUGUGAGGGAACAAAGUUUGUUGGCCAACGAGUUGGCCUGUCUCUCUCCCCCUCUCCCUCUCUCUCCCGCUCACUCACUC